RNAcentral lists this transfer RNA (73 nucleotides) under Tripneustes gratilla (Hawaiian sea urchin). RNAcentral's name for it is "tRNA-Thr". It matches the Rfam family "tRNA". Rfam says of the family: Transfer RNA (tRNA) molecules are approximately 80 nucleotides in length. The record is from RNAcentral. RNAcentral also lists the same sequence under 3 other names. Lineage: Eukaryota; Metazoa; Echinodermata; Echinoidea; Temnopleuroida; Toxopneustidae.
GCCUUGAAAGCUAAAAGCUAUAAGCGUCUGGUCUUGUAAACCAGAAGAGAAGGUUAAAGUCCUUCUCAAGGCU